Molecule: long non-coding RNA, 1226 nt
Filed under: Felis catus (domestic cat)
Lineage: Eukaryota; Metazoa; Chordata; Mammalia; Carnivora; Felidae
Description: lncRNA (ENSFCAG00000046723.2)
Source: RNAcentral
UGUGCCAGAUGUUUAGAGUUUUAAUUCAGAUCACUUAGAAAAGUUUUGAUUGCGUGGCACGUAUCCUAGAUUUCGUACUAAGAGAUCCUGAGUAAUUUCGAUUGUUGUUGGUUGCACAGUGUUACACGUGAUUUAAAAGGGUUUGUUGAUUCUUCCCCGGAGGUAACUGGUCGUGGUUUAGACCUUCCCCUUAAUAACAGCCCAAGCGAUGGGGGAAGUCAUUUGGGUGGAAUCCAGCUGGAAAUAGUUGGAGAGCGUGGCACAGAGAAGGGUGUCUGUGUCCUUGUUGUUCUGGUUAAUCACAGAACGGUGCUAGUCGACAAACAGGGGUGGAAAGGCAGACCCGGAACACUUGAGAGCGGAGAAACCGUCCCUUCGCUGUCCACGGCACACGCAGAAAGCGGAGCCCAGGACCCCCGUGGACAGGAGCAAGAAUUUGGUGCAAUUAUAGAGGUCGUUCCCAAGACAGUAGGGAGGCAUUCCACGAAGUUCAGAGUCAAGGGACAAUUCAUGAAGCCCGCCUACAUCUGACCCAGCCCUCUAGGAGGGCCCACCAGCGCCUGCUGUCCUGGCCUUGAUUUGCAGCUUCCUGCCACCCAUGGUGCGGAGGAGAGAGGCCGAGCAUGUGGCCUGUGGGAGAUGGUGGGAUAAAGCCGCAGGAGGAGGGGAGAAGCAGGAGCCAGCAGGCUUCCACGAGGUAUGCAUGCGCAACAGGACAAGAGAAGGAAAUUCAAGACUCAGUGAAAAUCAACAGUCUAAAGUAGCCAGCAUUGCUGUGGAUUAUAUGGCCGGAGAACCCACAUCGCUCCUUUCAAGUCAAGUCCUGGGUGGGUGCUCUGGCUCCAAGCUUCAAACCUAAAGAUCCAAGAUGCCUGAAACUCAGAAAAUCUCUAUGAGUGAAAGUCAACUUCCUCUUUACGUCUUCUCCGGGCACAUGUAUUUCAUGUUGUGGCUGUCGUUGACCAAAAUGACAGACAUCAGAUGAAUUACUCCUUUUCUGAGAAGCACAAUGCUUUUUAUACUAAUUAUGAUGUUUGGAAUGGAAUCAGAAAAGGCUGGGAGUGUAAAGAAAAGGGAAAAAAAAUGUUGCGAUUAGAGUGUAGAGGGCAACAGGCCAUCCUUGCCUCUGUAUUUUGGGGCACAGAUUGAUCAUUAAACACUUUUUAGUACCUCUUGACUACAGACAUUUUAUAUCCCGGAUCGAGAAACCUCAUAAUGAAUGAAAG